Molecule: ribosomal RNA, 464 nt
Filed under: Vreelandella stevensii
Lineage: Bacteria; Pseudomonadati; Pseudomonadota; Gammaproteobacteria; Oceanospirillales; Halomonadaceae
Description: partial 16S ribosomal RNA
Rfam family: Bacterial small subunit ribosomal RNA
Source: RNAcentral
CCUACGGGGAGCAGCAGUGGGGAAUAUUGGACACUGGGCGAAAGCCUGAUCCAGCCAUGCCGCGUGUGUGAAGAAGGCCUUCGGGUUGUAAAGCACUUUCAGUGGGGAAGAAAGCCUUGGGGCUAAUACCCUCGAGGAAGGACAUCACCCACAGAAGAAGCACCGGCUAACUCCGUGCCAGCAGCCGCGGUAAUACGGAGGGUGCGAGCGUUAAUCGGAAUUACUGGGCGUAAAGCGCGCGUAGGCGGUCUGAUAAGCCGGUUGUGAAAGCCCCGGGCUCAACCUGGGAACGGCAUCCGGAACUGUCAGGCUAGAGUGCAGGAGAGGAAGGUAGAAUUCCCGGUGUAGCGGUGAAAUGCGUAGAGAUCGGGAGGAACACCAGUGGCGAAGGCGGCCUUCUGGACUGACACUGACGCUGAGGUGCGAAAGCGUGGGUAGCAAACAGGAUUAGAUACCCCGUAGUC